RNAcentral lists this ribosomal RNA (183 nucleotides) under uncultured bacterium. RNAcentral describes it as "partial 16S ribosomal RNA". It matches the Rfam family "Bacterial small subunit ribosomal RNA", at positions 1317 to 1500 of the family's 1533-position model. The record is from RNAcentral.
UUCAUGAAGCCGGAAUUGCUAGUAAUGGCAGGUCAGCAUACUGCCGUGAAUACGUUCCCGGGCCUUGUACACACCGCCCGUCACACCAUGAGAGUUGGGAAUACCCGAAGCCUGUGAGCUAACUUUUAGAGGCAGCAGUCGAAGGUAGAAUCAAUGAUUGGGGUGAAGUCGUAACAAGGUACC